RNAcentral lists this ribosomal RNA (450 nucleotides) under uncultured bacterium. RNAcentral describes it as "partial 16S ribosomal RNA". It matches the Rfam family "Bacterial small subunit ribosomal RNA", at positions 354 to 796 of the family's 1533-position model. The record is from RNAcentral.
GUGGGGAAUUUUGGACAAUGGGCGAAAGCCUGAUCCAGCCAUGCCGCGUGUGUGAAGAAGGUCUUCGGAUUGUAAAGCACUUUAAGUUGGGAGGAAGGGCAGUAAGUUAAUACCUUGCUGUUUUGACGUUACCAACAGAAUAAGCACCGGCUAACUUCGUGCCAGCAGCCGCGGUAAUACGAAGGGUGCAAGCGUUAAUCGGAAUUACUGGGCGUAAAGCGCGCGUAGGUGGUUUUGUAAGACAGAGGUGAAAUCCCCGGGCUCAACCUGGGAACUGCCUCCAAAACUGCAUGACUAGAGUACGGUAGAGGGUAGUGGAAUUUCCUGUGUAGCGGUGAAAUGCGUAGAUAUAGGAAGGAACACCAGUGGCGAAGGCGACUACCUGGACUGAUACUGACACUGAGGUGCGAAAGCGUGGGGAGCAAACAGGAUUAGAAACCCUAGUAGUCC